RNAcentral lists this ribosomal RNA (945 nucleotides) under uncultured Lactobacillus sp. Its description in RNAcentral is "bacterial SSU rRNA". It matches the Rfam family "Bacterial small subunit ribosomal RNA", at positions 8 to 916 of the family's 1533-position model. Lineage: Bacteria; Bacillati; Bacillota; Bacilli; Lactobacillales; Lactobacillaceae. The record is from RNAcentral.
AGAGCUAUGAUUAUUGCUCAGGACGAACGCUGGCGGCGUGCCUACAUACAUGCAAGUCGAACGAACUCUGGUAUUGAUUGGUGCUUGCAUCAUGAUUUACAUUUGAGUGAGUGGCGAACUGGUGAGUAACACGUGGGAAACCUGCCCAGAAGAGGGGGAUAACAUUUGGAAACAAGUGCUAAUACCGCAUAACAACUACUUUCACAUGAUCGUAGCUUGAAAGAUGGCUCUGCUAUCGCUUUUGGAUGGACCCGCGGCGUAUUAGCUAGUUGGUGAGGUAAUGGCUCACCAAGGCAAUGAUACGUAGCCGACCUGAGAGGGUAAUCGGCCACAUUGGGACUGAGACACGGCCCAAACUCCUACGGGAGGCAGCAGUAGGGAAUCUUCCACAAUGGGCGAAAGCCUGAUGGAGCAAUGCCGCGUGAGUGAAGAAGGUUUUCGGAUCGUAAAACUCUGUUGUUGAAGAAGAACAUGCGUGAGAGUAACUGUUCACGUACUGACGGUAUUCAACCAGAAAGCCACGGCUAACUACGUGCCAGCAGCCGCGGUAAUACGUAGGUGGCAAGCGUUGUCCGGAUUUAUUGGGCGUAAAGAGAAUGUAGGCGGUUUAUUAAGUUUGAAGUGAAAGCCCUCGGCUCAACCGAGGAAGUGCUUCGAAAACUGGUAAACUUGAGUGCAGAAGAGGAAAGUGGAACUCCAUGUGUAGCGGUGGAAUGCGUAGGUAUAUGGAAGAACACCAGUGGCGAAGGCGGCUUUCUGGUCUGUAACUGACGCUGAGAUUCGAAAGCAUGGGUAGCAAACAGGAUUAGAUACCCUGGUAGUCCAUGCCGUAAACGAUGAGUGCUAAGUGUUGGAGGGUUUCCGCCCUUCAGUGCUGCAGCUAACGCAUUAAGCACUCCGCCUGGGGAGUACGACCGCAUAGGUUGAAACUCAAAUGAAUGACGG